Molecule: ribosomal RNA, 459 nt
Filed under: uncultured bacterium
Lineage: Bacteria
Description: partial 16S ribosomal RNA
Rfam family: Bacterial small subunit ribosomal RNA
Source: RNAcentral
CCUACGGGUGGCAGCAGUGAGGUAUAUUGGUCAAUGGCCGAGAGGCUGAACCAGCCAAGUCGCGUGAGGGAAGACGGCCCUACGGGUUGUAAACCUCUUUUGUCGGGGAGCAAAGCGAACCCUGUGUGGGUCAUUGAGAGUACCCGAAGAAAAAGCAUCGGCGAACUCCGUGCCUGCAGCCGCGGUAAUAAGGAGGAUGCGAGCGUUAUCCGGAUUUAUUGGGUUUAAAGGGUGCGCAGGCGGAGGUCCAAGUCAGCGGGAAAAUGGCGGGGCUCAACCCCGUACUGCCGUUGAAACUGCAUCCCUUGAGUGCGCGAGAGGUAGGCGGAAUGCGUGGUGUAGCGGUGAAAUGCAUAGAUAUCACGCAGAACUCCGAUUGCGAAGGCAGCAUACCGGCGCGCAACUGACGCUCAUGCACGAAAGCGUGGGUAUCGAACAGGAUUAGAUACCCGUGUAGUC